RNAcentral lists this ribosomal RNA (253 nucleotides) under uncultured bacterium. RNAcentral describes it as "partial 16S ribosomal RNA". It matches the Rfam family "Bacterial small subunit ribosomal RNA", at positions 524 to 776 of the family's 1533-position model. The record is from RNAcentral.
UACGGGGGGGGCAAGCGUUGUUCGGAAUUACUGGGCGUAAAGGGCUCGUAGGCGGCCAACUAAGUCAGACGUGAAAUCCCUCGGCUUAACCGGGGAACUGCGUCUGAUACUGGCAGGCUUGAAUCCGGGAGAGGGAUGUGGAAUUCCAGGUGUAGCGGUGAAAUGCGUAGAUAUCUGGAGGAACACCGGUGGCGAAGGCGGCAUCCUGGACCGGUAUUGACGCUGAUGCGCGAAAGCGUGGGGAGCAAACAGG